GGGGGUAUGGUUGCAAAGCUGAAACUUAAAGGAACUGACAGAAGGGCACCACCAGGAGUGAAGCCUGCGGCUUAAUUUGACUCAACACAGGGAAACCUCACCUGGCCCGCACACGGACAGGAUUGACACAUUGAUAGCUCUUUCUCGAUUCCGUGGGUGGUGGUGCAUGGCCGUUCUUAGUUGGUGGAGCCAUCUGUCUGGUUAAUUCCGAUAACGAACGAGACUCUGGCAUGCUAACUAGUUACGCGACACCCCCAGUGGUCGGCGUCUCCCAACUUCUUAGAGGGACAAGUGGCAUUCAGCCACCCAAGACUGAGCAGUAACAGGUCUGUGAUGCCCUUAGAUGUCCAGACUGCACGCCUAUACUGACUGGCUCAGCGUCAUCCAGCUGCUCAACUGCCCCCCCCACCCCCCGCCCCCCGGCCCUGAAGUGCCUGCAAUUUACCUCCGGAGACAUAUGCAUUGUAAAGCUUGUGAUCAAACCUUGUAUGGUAACUUUUUCCUUGUGAUCA
RNAcentral lists this non-coding RNA (512 nucleotides) under Erinaceus europaeus (western European hedgehog). RNAcentral describes it as "Eukaryotic small subunit ribosomal RNA". It matches the Rfam family "Eukaryotic small subunit ribosomal RNA", at positions 1119 to 1592 of the family's 1831-position model. Lineage: Eukaryota; Metazoa; Chordata; Mammalia; Eulipotyphla; Erinaceidae. The record is from Rfam by way of RNAcentral.